UAUGCAGUGAAAUAUUAAAGAACGUGAUGAGAACCAGCUAAUUGUACGUAUAACCUUUAAGAUGUCUCAGACAGGAUUCCAGUCUUCACCUCAGGUUAUAAAGAGAAAGUAAUGGGGCCAUAAAAACACAUUUAAGUAUGCCUUUAAAGUUUAAGGAGAGUUUAAUUGCGGGUGCUGCGGUGCCUGGGAGCACAGCCUCUCCCAGGUAGCUUUUCCCUGGGAGAGGAUCAGCGAGGGCCAGGCUGGGCUUUGCUUGCCCCGGGAGGUUUGGUUUGUACUAAUAAACAUGCCAGCUGUAGGUCAGAUGGUAAAUGAAAGUGAUAUUCGAUGGCCCGGAUCCUCACCUGGCGUAAAGCAGGACCCUCCAGGGCUGGGUUUGAAGCCUGGCCUGGGUGACCUGCGGGGAACCGUGGGUGACCUGCAGCCGGCAGGAAAGGAGCUGCAGCCCUGCCAGGUUUCUCCACAUCUCCAGCGCAUUUCACAGUGCCCAGGAAAGGAAAGAGGAAGAGGAAGAAUGGUUUUUCUUACACUACAAAUUCUUUCCCUGUGGCUCAAGAUGCAGAUCCGCCUGCAGAUGACAGCCCGUGCCCAGGCAGCGAUGUGCCUUGGUCACUGCAGGGUCCAUGGAGAGAUUCAAAAAGCACCCGGAGGCCAGAGCUGAGCAGCUUCAAUUCUCACUGCACACGUGGGAAGGUGCAAAGCAGAGAUCAGCCAAGCUGCUCAUUUUAUACUGCUUUUUAUCUAGAAACUCAGAUUUUAUCAAGAGGAAGUAGAGGAAGCGAAAGCAAAACCAAGUCAGGAGCACUUCCAACAACUCUAUGUCCAUGAGCACUUCAGGACUGAGUACAUUAGCACCUGUGUUUGCAGGCUUGGGCUCAAGAGCCUCCCCCAAGACAGUUGGCUGAGGACUGAUAACUCUAAAUGACACCUAAAUGUGACCUUAAUGACAGACCUACCGGAGCUGCAGGAGGGACACCACCAGAGAAAUCACCCUGCCAGAUGCAGUGGUGCAGCAGAAGGGCAGUGUUUUGGUUGUGAUCCCAAUCCGGGCUGCUCCAAACCUGACAUCACUGUUCUGCUAUUUCACAAGCACUGCCUAGUGCUUGCUCCAGAGCAGGAAGCACUGAAGUUUUGGAUAUUUGCAGUUUUCUGAAGAAUCAGUGUCAAACACACAGCAACCAGAGGCCAACCCGCAGCCAGCUCUGCUCGGGGCUGUCUGCCAGCUUGGGUCUGCGAAGCAUCAAGGGACGCGACGUGAGAUAGCUUCUUUGCUUCCCAAUCAAUCAGUCAGUCCCACAUUCCCCUCGGAGCCGACAUUGACAGGGCAAUAAAUAACCCGCUGGCAGCAGCACAGGUAGGGCAGGGCUUCUCCGCCUGCCCUGCAAGAGGUCAGGAACGUGGCUGGGGAGGCAGCGCCUGAACCGCGGCUAUUUGGGGAGCAUCGCUUGCAGGAGGGCUGAGGUUCAUCCUGCACAUGCACACAGACUUUCCCAGGAUCAUUCAAAGCUUUAUGUGAUGCAGAAGCCGGUGAUUUUGGUCACCUGCCUGGUUCUGGGCACCCAACAUCCCACAGAGAGGGGACAGUCAGCGGGGGCUGGUCCUCGUGAGCCUCUGUCCUCCCAGCUUUGAUCAGAUGCAUCCUGAAUACAUUGCUGGUUGCAAACCGCAGGAUCUGCUGCUCUGCAAGCCCUGCUCAGCCCAGUGCCAGGUUGCCAAUAGCUGCAUUUUAAGUGGGAAUAUUUGUAGCCACAAUUUGCUCUAGCAGGCAAAAUUCAGAUAUUUUGAUUUGUGAACCGCAGGACUAAAAUCUGCUUUAUCCUCUGCACAGUGUGACUCUCCGUGUGGUUUCAAGGAUCACUAGCUGUGACAAGGGGAUGGGGAUGGCUGGAAAAUGACGCGUGAGAGGGCCAGCUGAUGCUCCUGUGUCACGAGGGGUCCGUGGAGGAGCCAAAAGUUGAGAUGGUGACUCCAGGUUGGCAUUGGGGCACUGUGCAGGCCAGGCAGCUAUGGAAAUGGUAUCCCCUUAGUACUCUUUUUUGAUCUGCUGAGCUCCCAGGUGCUUACAAAGUGAGCAAGGCACGGCUGUGCAGCCUCAGCACAGGCUGGAUGGACCAAGGGCUCUCAUCCCACCACGUCCCCACCUCUGGCACUAGCACAGGGCACGGCAGCUCCCUCGUACCUAUAUUUCUGCUCCGGACCCUCCAGGUGCACACAGAGACAGGAGCAGAGCCAGCCUUGCAACAUGACCUUUAAUUAAAGGACAGCACCACGCCGCUGAAUCGAUGUCCCUGUGCCGGGAGCUCUGCAUCGGAGCUGCAUUGCAGUGUCAGCAUGGGGCCGGAUCCAGCUGCAGCUCUCACCUGCAU
Long non-coding RNA from Oxyura jamaicensis (ruddy duck), 2366 nucleotides. RefSeq lists it as uncharacterized. NCBI's taxonomy places the organism in Eukaryota, Metazoa, Chordata, Aves, Anseriformes, Anatidae. The record is from RefSeq and is a predicted model, not a curated record. The transcript is spliced from 2 exons.